Molecule: long non-coding RNA, 2323 nt
Organism: Acanthopagrus latus (yellowfin seabream)
Lineage: Eukaryota; Metazoa; Chordata; Actinopteri; Spariformes; Sparidae
Exons: 3
Source: RefSeq, a predicted model, not a curated record
GCUGAGUCCGAGCCAGAGGAUCCAUUAGUGCUGAUUGAGGAGCACAAGGGUGCAGACGUAACCCUGAGAGAAGGGACAAAGACACUGUUAGCAACAAGCUGGUGACUAUGGUGGAGCAUUUAGCCGCUAAGGCAGCAGAUGUUUGGUAGAGAUCAAACACAGAGCUUAAAAGAUGAAGAUGAAGAUGAAAAAGAACAUGCUGGGGGGAGAGGAGGCUUCUGCCUCUCAUCUCUGUCUGCGUGUCAGACGGGAGCAGGGAGAGGAUCACUGGAGAGGAGCUGGGUGAGGGCCACAGAGGGGAGACAGCACACGGAUGAUGGGCCGGGUGCUGCAGAGAGCACUGAGACUGCGUUGAGGAGGUCACACUCCAGCACACUGCGGAGUGACAGUGUUGGGCUGGGUGUCACAUCAGGAGGUUGCCUUAUUGUCACAAGCAGGAGGUCGCAUGAUUGACGUGAUGACGUAAUACACACACCGCGCGCGCACACACACACACACACGUUUCCUUUACAUUUACAUACACUUGCAAAAUGUACAAAUGUGAUACCAUGUUUGUUUUUCAGUGGAGAUGAAGAUGUUGCUGUAUGAAAACAGGUUAACUUAUUAUCGCUAUUCAAUACAUACAUUUACAUUUUAUCAUAUGUGCUUUCCAGUAUUUUUUCAUAUUGUGUAAUCUAUAGAUAUUCAGUAGAUACAGUAUACAUCUGUCCUGUCCCCCCUGCAAUUACCUUCUGACCACAAGGUGGAGCUACGUGGACUAAAACAUAGAUACAACCUCCUAUAACUUUGACAUUUGUUUAGUUUUCUUCUCUGGAACGGACCUAUUUUACAUAAAAUAUAUGAUAACAAACAAGAUUAGGAGUGUGACCCCCUUACAUCCAAAACAAAGUAUCAUUUCAGAAAUCUGGUUUAGAUAACAAGUACCAAAUACUGUGCUGUCCUUUCCUUCCAACAUACAGUCUACACUCAACACAACAUAAAGCAGGCCUCAGCCUUACGUGCUAAAAGCUGCUGAUAAAUACGAGAACUGAUGUAUCUAAGACAGAGCGCCAUAUGAUGACUAAAUGAGCUGCCAUAUCUCUUAACCUUCAGACUUUCUUGGAAACACCCGAGGAGCUAAAUGUUACAACUUCCUCCAGCCAAUUAUCUUCUGCCAGACUCCUGAGGAAAAACUGUAGCAUUGAAGACACAGACACGAGGUCCAGACUGGACAGAGGAGGAAGAUUUAAGUGUGUUGUGCACAGAGAGACAUUUAUUUUAUUGCAACCUUAUUGUUUUAGUGUUAUUAAUGUGAAAAAAACACAUCUCUAAUAAACAGGGGGGAUAAAGUAAGAGCUUUAGCAGAGGAACUGAGCCAAAGCACAAACACAACAGCCUCACAAGUCACUUUUUGAUUCAUUGCUUUUCAAAUGGUGUUUCCAGUUUUUUGGACACGAUGAGGUUUAAAGCUGCAGUGAGCAUCUCAAUCACAGUAACACAAGGACAACAACCUGCAUCUUCAGUCACCGUCCACUAGAUGUCACUGUAUUCCAAAGAUUAUAAAGCUGGCUGAUGCAUUUGUGCUCUGAAGAGAAAGCAACAAGUUCAUGUGCUUUCCUUUGAAAAGCUCAACCACAAAAUCAUUAGUGUGUAAUGUAGCACACUGUGGUGUGACUUGGUUUACUGUGUGUUUUGCGUUUAUUUGGGCAAUAAACUACCCUCAAAAUAUGAGUACGGGGAGGGUGGAGAUCGUUUUUUAAAGUGUCCAAAGAGAACACUUACACUCAGUUACUUGUAAUGAUGCCAUCAGAUACACUAAUGAACAAAAGAUGCACAAGGUGGAGCAUCUUUGGUGUACUAUUCAUACAAUAUGAUUAGAUUAGAUUAGAUUAGAUUAGAUUAGAUUAGAUUAGAUUAGAUUAGAUUAGACUAGAUUAGAUAGGUGUUAUUUUUCCCACAACAGGGAAAUUCACUUGUUACAUCAGCUCAAGAUGCAAGUACAGGAAAAAGAAUCAGACAAAUACACAUAGUUAAAUAGAAAAUAGAUAGUAAAAACUGUAUGUACGUAUCGUGAAUACUGGGAUACUGUGACACCCCUAGUUUGAUGAAAAUCCAUCAAAAUAAAAAAACUAAAAAAACUUCAUAAUUACAUGAAAAGUUGACUUGGAAGUAUGCUUUCUGCUAAAGUGAGCUUCUUCAUAUUCAUCUUAAUCAGCACUCCCACCGUUGCAAAAUAUGUCUAAUCCAUUAAUAAAUGCUUGCUUUUCUAUAUCAGAUUGAGUUCAGUCUCUGAAUGUGUUCCAUAAUGAUGUUUAUUCUAAUCAACGUCACACACAUCUGAAUG